UUCUUAAACAAAGAGAUUCCAGAAAACAUGAUUGUGAGGAUUUCACAUGGCUACAUAUAGUUCCCAAUUCUCAAAGGCUGUGGCUCAUGAAAACAUGACUGCGAGGCAACGACAAUUAAGAAAAAGGAAUUUAGGAAGACUGGUGGAGAUGAGGAACGAAUGGCAGCCAUUGCAGCUUACAUGAAGCUUAAUUGGCAGGGCCUUCAGAAGAAGGUUGUCUUUGUUACUGUUAUUACAGAUCUCAACACCUUCCAUCGCACAUGGUUCAACACUGGUGUCAACCAAUGCUACUGCCCUUCGGACGAGGUUUCCAAGA
Long non-coding RNA from Papaver somniferum (opium poppy), 316 nucleotides. RefSeq lists it as uncharacterized. The transcript is spliced from 3 exons. The record is from RefSeq and is a predicted model, not a curated record. NCBI's taxonomy places the organism in Eukaryota, Viridiplantae, Streptophyta, Magnoliopsida, Ranunculales, Papaveraceae.